This 1444-nucleotide ribosomal RNA is filed under the name Candidatus Methylopumilus planktonicus. Its description in RNAcentral is "bacterial SSU rRNA". It matches the Rfam family "Bacterial small subunit ribosomal RNA". The record is from RNAcentral. Lineage: Bacteria; Pseudomonadati; Pseudomonadota; Betaproteobacteria; Nitrosomonadales; Methylophilaceae.
ACGGCAGCACGGAGAGCUUGCUCUCUGGUGGCGAGUGGCGAACGGGUGAGUAAUAUAUCGGAACGUGUCCAAUAAUGGGGGAUAACGAGUCGAAAGAUUCGCUAAUACCGCAUACGCCCUACGGGGGAAAGCAGGGGAUCGUAAGACCUUGCGUUAAUGGAGCGGCCGAUAUCUGAUUAGCUUGUUGGUGAGGUAAAGGCUCACCAAGGCGACGAUCAGUAGCUGGUUUGAGAGAACGACCAGCCACACUGGAACUGAGACACGGUCCAGACUCCUACGGGAGGCAGCAGUGGGGAAUUUUGGACAUGGGGGCAACCCUGAUCCAGCCAUUCCGCGUGAGUGAAGAAGGCCUUCGGGUUGUAAAGCUCUUUCGCAAGGGAAGAAAACUUAUGAUCGAAUAAAUCAUGAGGUUGACGGUACCUUGAUAAGAAGCACCGGCUACUACGUGCCAGCAGCCGCGGUAAUACGUAGGGUGCGAGCGUUAAUCGGAAUUACUGGGCGUAAAGCGUGCGCAGGCGGUUUUGUAAGUCGGAUGUGAAAUCCCCGGGCUCACCUGGGAACUGCGUUCGAAACUGCAAGGCUAGAGUGUGUCAGAGGGGGGUAGAAUUCCACGUGUAGCAGUGAAAAUGCGUAGAGAUGUGGAGGAAUACCAAUGGCGAAGGCAGCCCCCUUGGGAUAACACUGACGCUCAUGCACGAAAGCGUGGGGAGCAAACAGGAUUAGAUACCCUGGUAGUCCACGCCCUAAACGAUGUCAACUAGUUGUUGGUAGAGUAAAAUCUAUGAGUAACGUAGCUAACGCGUGAAGUUGACCGCCUGGGGAGUACGGUCGCAAGAUUAAAACUCAAAGGAAUUGACGGGGGCCCGCACAAGCGGUGGAUUAUGUGGAUUAAUUCGAUGCAACGCGAAAAACCUUACCUGGCCUUGACAUGUACCGAAUUGAGCAGAGAUGUUCAAGUGCUCGAAAGAGAACGGUAACACAGGUGCUGCAUGGCUGUCGUCAGCUCGUGUCGUGAGAUGUUGGGUUAAGUCCCGCAACGAGCGCAACCCUUGCCAUUAAUUGCCAUCAUUUAGUUGGGCACUUUAAUGGGACUGCCGGUGACAAACCGGAGGAAGGUGGGGAUGACGUCAAGUCCUCAUGGCCCUUAUGGCCAGGGCUUCACACGUAAUACAAUGGUCGGUACAGAGGGUUGCCAACCCGCGAGGGGGAGCCAAUCCCAGAAAGCCGAUCGUAGUCCGGAUUGGUAGUCUGCAACUCGACUGCAUGAAGUCGGAAUCGCUAGUAAUCGCGGAUCAGCAUGUCGCGGUGAAUACGUUCCCGGGCCUUGUACACACCGCCCGUCACACCAUGGGAGUGGGUUUUUACCAGAAGUAGUUAGUCUAACCCGCAAGGAGACGCUUACCACGGUAGGAUUUCAUGACUGGGGUGAAGUCGUAACAAGGUA